RNAcentral lists this long non-coding RNA (260 nucleotides) under Elaeis guineensis (African oil palm). RNAcentral's name for it is "long non-coding RNA (EGUI_LNC030772)". Lineage: Eukaryota; Viridiplantae; Streptophyta; Magnoliopsida; Arecales; Arecaceae. The record is from RNAcentral.
AUGGGGGGGAAAAAAAAGUUACAGGGGUGUGACCAAUCCGAGAGCAGGAAAAGCCUCUCCAGGCCCUUUUCAUAUCAUAUAUUUCCUUCUAUAUAUAAUGUAAUUCCAAGGUGGUUUUUUGGGUAAGGUAACUCCCUGGCUUUUCGAACCAUGUUCCAACUUUUAGGACCUGAAAUUAGACUUGCUUGUGGCCUCUUAGUUUUCUAAGAAUCCACCAUUUUUUUUUUUUUUUGAUAGUUACGAUUUAUUUAACCAAUCUA